RNAcentral lists this ribosomal RNA (321 nucleotides) under uncultured bacterium. RNAcentral describes it as "bacterial SSU rRNA". It matches the Rfam family "Bacterial small subunit ribosomal RNA", at positions 35 to 358 of the family's 1533-position model. The record is from RNAcentral.
GCUGGCGGCAAGUCCNACACAUGGAAGAAAAACGGCAGCACGGGAGCAAUCCUGGUGGCGAGUGGCGAACGUUUCCGUAAUAUAUCGGAACGUGCCCAGUCGUGGGGGAUAACGCAGCGAAAGCUGUGCUAAUACCGCAUACGAUCUACGGAUGAAAGCGGGGGAUCGCAAGACCUCGCGCGAUUGGAGCGGCCGAUAUCAGAUUAGGUUGUUGGUGGGGUAAAGGCCCACCAAGCCGACGAUCUGUAGCUGGUCUGAGAGGACGACCAGCCACACUGGAACUGAGACACGGUCCAGACUCCUACGGGAGGCAGCAGUGGG